This 429-nucleotide ribosomal RNA is filed under the name Chloroflexota bacterium. Its description in RNAcentral is "Chloroflexi bacterium partial 16S ribosomal RNA". It matches the Rfam family "Bacterial small subunit ribosomal RNA", at positions 355 to 776 of the family's 1533-position model. Lineage: Bacteria; Bacillati; Chloroflexota. The record is from RNAcentral.
UGGGGAAUAUUGCACAAUGGGCGCAAGCCUGAUGCAGCCAUGCCGCGUGUAUGAAGAAGGCCUUCGGGUUGUAAAGUACUUUCAGUCGGGAGGAAGGUGGUAAGGUUAAUAACCUUGGCAAUUGACGUUACCGACAGAAGAAGCACCGGCUAACUCCGUGCCAGCAGCCGCGGUAAUACGGAGGGUGCAAGCGUUAAUCGGAAUUACUGGGCGUAAAGCGAACGCAGGCGGUUGAUUGAGUCAGAUGUGAAAUCCCCGGGCUUAACCCGGGAAUUGCAUCUGAUACUGGUCAGCUAGAGUCUUGUAGAGGGGGGUAGAAUUCCAUGUGUAGCGGUGAAAUGCGUAGAGAUGUGGAGGAAUACCGGUGGCGAAGGCGGCCCCCUGGACAAAGACUGACGCUCAGGUGCGAAAGAGUGGGGAGCAAACAGG